AAGCCGUAACAAGGUUUCCGUAGGUGAACCUGGGGAAGGAUCAGUAACACGUAUCCAACGUCAAAACCCCCUGUGAACCUUCAGUGUGCUCGCACUUUGUUAGAAAAGGUAGCAAUCCCUGGUAAAUCAUUGCCGAACAGUUUUGAUUCAGGGACUUCCGCGUAGACUGUGCUUAGCGCGAGGCAAGUGGCCUGGCAUUCCUCUGCUUGUUGGUGUGUGAAAGUGUCACCAGCUCUGUACGAAUGGUGCAGUCACGAUCGCUAGAGGCCGACACGGCCGGCGACCGGGUCACUGGGCGCGAGAGCCCCUCGCCACCUUUGCAUGAAACGGGCCUGCGCUUAAUUGUGCGGCCACCAAACUCGAACAACUGUUAACAAUGGAUAUCUUGGUUCUC
RNAcentral lists this unclassified non-coding RNA (394 nucleotides) under fungal sp. RNAcentral describes it as "partial internal transcribed spacer region". The record is from RNAcentral. Lineage: Eukaryota; Fungi.